This 369-nucleotide ribosomal RNA is filed under the name uncultured soil bacterium. RNAcentral describes it as "bacterial SSU rRNA". It matches the Rfam family "Bacterial small subunit ribosomal RNA", at positions 26 to 399 of the family's 1533-position model. The record is from RNAcentral.
AGAUUGGACGCUGGCGGCAUGCCUUACACAUGCAAGUCGAACGGUAGAGUAGCAAUACUCGAGAGUGGCGAACGGGUGAGUAAUAUAUCGGAACGUGCCCAGUCGUGGGGGGAUAACGUAGAGAAAUUUACGCUAAUACCGCAUACGAUCUAAGGAUGAAAGCGGGGGAUCGCAAGACCUCGCGCGAUUGGAGCGGCUGAUAUCAGAUUAGGUUGUUGGUGAGGUAAAAGCUCACCAAGCCGACGAUCUGUAGCUGGUUUGAGAGAACGACCAGCCACACUGGGACUGAGACACGGCCCAGACCUCCUACGGGAGCAGCAGUGGGGAAUUUUGGACAAGUGGGACGAAAGCCUGAUCCAGCAAUCGCCG